AGAGUUUGAUCAUGGCUCAGGAUGAACGCUAGCUACAGGCUUAACACAUGCAAGUCGAGGGGCAGCAUGGUCUUAGCUUGCUAAGACUGAUGGCGACCGGCGCACGGGUGAGUAACACGUAUCCAACCUGCCGUCUACUCUUGGACAGCCUUCUGAAAGGAAGAUUAAUACAAGAUGGCAUCAUGAGUCCGCAUGUUCACAUGAUUAAAGGUAUUCCGGUAGACGAUGGGGAUGCGUUCCAUUAGAUAGUAGGCGGGGUAACGGCCCACCUAGUCUUCGAUGGAUAGGGGUUCUGAGAGGAAGGUCCCCCACAUUGGAACUGAGACACGGUCCAAACUCCUACGGGAGGCAGCAGUGAGGAAUAUUGGUCAUGGGCGAGAGCCUGAACCAGCCAAGUAGCGUGAAGGAUGACUGCCCUAUGGGUUGUAAACUUCUUUUAUAAAGGAAUAAAGUCGGGUAUGCAUACCCGUUUGCAUGUACUUUAUGAAUAAGGAUCGGCUAACUCCGUGCCAGCAGCCGCGGUAAUACGGAGGAUCCGAGCGUUAUCCGGAUUUAUUGGGUUUAAAGGGAGCGUAGAUGGAUGUUUAAGUCAGUUGUGAAAGUUUGCGGCUCAACCGUAAAAUUGCAGUUGAUACUGGAUAUCUUGAGUGCAGUUGAGGCAGGCGGAAUUCGUGGUGUAGCGGUGAAAUGCUUAGAUAUCACGAAGAACUCCGAUUGCGAAGGCAGCCUGCUAAGCUGCAACUGACAUUGAGGCUCGAAAGUGUGGGUAUCAAACAGGAUUAGAUACCCUGGUAGUCCACACGGUAAACGAUGAAUACUCGCUGUUUGCGAUAUACGGCAAGCGGCCAAGCGAAAGCGUUAAGUAUUCCACCUGGGGAGUACGCCGGCAACGGUGAAACUCAAAGGAAUUGACGGGGGCCCGCACAAGCGGAGGAACAUGUGGUUUAAUUCGAUGAUACGCGAGGAACCUUACCCGGGCUUAAAUUGCAGAUGAAUUACGGUGAAAGCCGUAAGCCGCAAGGCAUCUGUGAAGGUGCUGCAUGGUUGUCGUCAGCUCGUGCCGUGAGGUGUCGGCUUAAGUGCCAUAACGAGCGCAACCCUUGUUGUCAGUUACUAACAGGUUCUGCUGAGGACUCUGACAAGACUGCCAUCGUAAGAUGUGAGGAAGGUGGGGAUGACGUCAAAUCAGCACGGCCCUUACGUCCGGGGCUACACACGUGUUACAAUGGGGGGUACAGAGGGCCGCUACCACGCGAGUGGAUGCCAAUCCCCAAAACCUCUCUCAGUUCGGACUGGAGUCUGCAACCCGACUCCACGAAGCUGGAUUCGCUAGUAAUCGCGCAUCAGCCACGGCGCGGUGAAUACGUUCCCGGGCCUUGUACACACCGCCCGUCAAGCCAUGGGAGCCGGGGGUACCUGAAGUGCGUAACCGCGAGGAGCGCCCUAGGGUAAAACUGGUGACUGGGGCUAAGUCGUAACAAGGUA
Molecule: ribosomal RNA, 1485 nt
Filed under: metagenome
Description: bacterial SSU rRNA
Rfam family: Bacterial small subunit ribosomal RNA
Source: RNAcentral